RNAcentral lists this long non-coding RNA (580 nucleotides) under Cimex lectularius (bed bug). Its description in RNAcentral is "uncharacterized LOC106666771, transcript variant X2". The record is from RNAcentral. Lineage: Eukaryota; Metazoa; Arthropoda; Insecta; Hemiptera; Cimicidae.
GACAAUUUCACUGCAAUAUGCAUCUCGGAAAGUGAGACUGCAAAUUAAAAACCUAAUAGCCAGCCACCCACUACUGUGUCUUUGCAACCCCCAAUUGUUGCUCAUCUAGUGCUUUAUAGAAUCAACAAAAUUAAAGUGAAGAAUUUUGUUAAAAUAAAAUAUUAGAUAUAUCAAAGAAGUUACCUCUUGAAUCAUGUGACAUUGCGGUUCUACAAGCAGCAUGGUCUGUCGUUGGAGAGAUCUGUGGAGUUUGGUGGAGAGGUCGCGGGAUGCCGGGAAGAGCUGGGGUCGAUGUUGCAGGUAUUGGAGGAUGAGUUGCACGCCAGUAGGUUUCUAAGUAUUCAGCGAUGUGUUCACAAGCGUCCUCGAGUUGAUUUUCGUCCAGAAUAACGUCAAACAUCUCCGGCGGACAUUGUGCCAACUUUUCAGCAGCAACCAUCUGCACGUUUAGAUGUCUUGCCUGUGACUUCCCUCGAGAUUUAAUUAAUCUCUGCAGUACCUGAGAGGAGUUGUGUGUUGGAAAUUGUGCUGGGGAGAAUGGUAUUCGUUUAGUAAUUCUUAACUGCUACAGAAACUAUUC